AAAAGACCUAACGGACUAAUCCCUUAUCUAUGAUCGUAGAUGCUAACGGGGCGGGAAUCGAUGUGGGGGACCCCUCCACCGCCUGUGUCUAUCUCCUGUCAAGUACGCUCCCUAGACAUAGAUUACGUACAGGGUAGUACUCUUGUAAAGAUAGAAAAUCACCGCGUGAACAUAACAUUACAUUAAGUUACGAAUGUAACUCCCAAAGGAUCGACCACUAUUCUAAAUAUAGUAAGGCGGAGAACUGUUGUUCAGUGGAGUGCCGGAGUGCGGAGGUUGUUCCCAUCAUUGAAGUCAGGGUGUGGACUGAGCCUUCCGAAUGAGAAAGAAGAAAAAUGCUUAGUUUCGUUGGAAAAACCAACGCAAAUAUCAUAUUGACUUUCUCUCGCCCUACUUCUAAAGAUAGAUAGAAAAGGUUGGAGAGAAUGACUUUCUGAAAUUCUCUCCUUUCUAAAGCUGCGCAAGGCGGCCCCCCCAGAACAAAGCCCCACCCCUCUUUUCCCCCCUUUAAUGAAGGACCCUCGCCUCGCUUCCUAUUCAUUUGUGGGUCUGGACCCGAGGGCCUUUUUUUUUCAAGAGGUGAUUUCGAGAAUCAACCAACGGAAAAAUCCGUAGCCCAGGUGACUCACAGCCUCCCUCUCGCCCAAAUAAAUGAAAUUUGGGCCCGAAGGCCUUUUUAAGAGGUGAUUUCGAGAAUCAACCAACGGAAAAAUUUGUAGCCCAGGUCACUCACAACCUCCCUCUCACCCAAAUAAAUGAAAUGGGAUGAAUCAAAUUAAUAAGCUUUUUGAUUGAUUCAGGGUGCAGCGAAGCCAAAUUAAAUCAAGGAAAUGGGGCUUACUUUUCCCGAGGCUGAUUCAUCCAAUUAAAAUUUAGCUAUGCUAAUGGAAGAGAAAAAGUUUUCAGAUGAGAUGGACCCCCAAGAGAUGAGCGAGAACCCCCAAUUUCUUAGGGGUCACACUCUGUCCCGCUUGGUGGACGAAAUCUUCUCUCCUUUUAGAAUUCUUUCUCCCACACACCUUUUUUUCCCUAUUUCACCGAUGAGGAAAGAAUAAUCUUCCAAGCAGACAGAGACAAAAAAUUUCCAUUAGAUUCAUUCCUAAGCUUGCUUUGUUGCAGCAAGAUGAUCAGUCCAGGAGUGCUGGAGAGAAGAGAAAGCGGUAAAAACCUCUCUUAUUCGGUCACCGAGAAGUCGGACGACUCUUCAGUAACCCAGGGUGAUCCGACCCCUUCGACGCUUUUUUCGCUGUAUACCCCCUCCAUCCUUCGGAAGUGGAAGAAAGGGUACUCUAAUUUGAAUACAUAGUAGGGCCCCAGAACGCUAAAAGGUGGGUACCCAGGGUGAUCCGACCCCUUCGAUGCUUUUUUGUUGUAUACCCCCUCCAUCCUUCGGAAGUGGAAGAAAGGAUACUCUAAUUUGAAUACAUAGUAGGUCCCCAGAACACUAAAAGGUGGGGGAACUAGAGUUGUCACGAUAGAAAAGAUAAAUAAAUAAAUGACUAUAAGGAACUAACGACUCUCUCUUCUUAAACAACCUAUAUCCUCCACACUUAAUCAACAUUUGAUAGAUUAUCCAACCCCUAGCAAUCUUAGUUAUUGGUUCGGUUCGUUAGCUGGUAUUUGUUUAGUCAUUCAGAUAGUGACUGGCGUUUUUUAGCUAUGCAUUACACACCUCAUGUAGAUCUAACUUCCAAUAGUGUAGAACACAUUAUGAGAGAUGUUGAAGGGGGCUGGUUGCUCCGUUAUAUUCAUGCUAAAGGGGCAAGUAUGUUUUUCAUUGUGGUUCACCUUCAUAUUUUUUGUGGUCUAUAUCAUGCCAGUUAUAGCAGUCCUAGGGAAUUUGUUAGGUGUCUCGGAGUUGUAAUCUUCCUAUUAAUGAUUGUGACAGCUUUUAUAGGAUAUGUACUACCUUGGGGUCAGAUGAGCUUUUGGGGAGCUACAGUAAUUACAAGCUUAGCUAGCGCCAUACCUGUAGUAGGAGAUACCAUAGUGACUUGGCUUUGGGGUGGGUUCUCCGUGGACAAUGCCACCUUAAAUAUUUUUUAGUCUUCAUCAUUUACUCCCCUUUAUUUUAGUAGGAGCCAGUCUUCUUCAUCUGGCCGCAUUGCAUCAAUAUGGAUCCAAUAAUCCAUUGGGUGUACAUGAGAUGGAUAAAAUUGCUUCUCACCCUUAUUUUUAUGUAAAGGAUUUAGUAGGUUGGGUAGCUUUUGCUAUCUUUUUUCCAUUUGGAUUUUUUAUGCUCCUAAUGUUUUGGGGCAUCACGACAAUUAUAUACCUGCUAAUCCGAUGUCCAGCCCACCUCAUAUUGUGCCAGAAUGGUAUUUGCCACCUAUUCAUGCCGUUCUUCGUAGAAUACCUGACUAAGCGGGAGGUGUAGCCGCAAUAGCACCGGUUUUAUAUGUAUGUUGGCUUUACCCUUUUUAAAAAUAUGUAUGUACGUAGUUCAAGUUUUCGCCCGAUUCACCAAGGAAUAUUUUGGUUGCUUUUGGUGGAUUGCUUACUACUAGGUUGGAUCGGAUGUCAACCUGUGGAGGCACCCUUUGUUACUAUUGGACAAAUUUCUCCUUUAGUUUUCUUCUUGUUCUUUGCCAUAACGCCCAUUCUGGGACAAGUUGGAAGAGGAAUUCCUAAUUCUUACACGGAUGAGACUGAUCACACCUGAUUAGUGAGAAAUUCUGACACCAAUCAUUUAUGAGUGAGUAUUAUACCAAGAAUUUACAAGCAGAUUGAGGAAUGAAGGAAGAGGAAUUAGAAUAGAAAGAAAGAGACGGAUUUCGAAUUAGAGUAAGGGCACGCUAAGACAUUCCUUUUCGUGCUUUCGAUCUGCUUACUUUGAAUAAAGAUAAACAAAUAAUAGAUAGGUAGAAAGGCUUUACACAAGACCACAGAGCGAGAGAGAGAGCCUUCGCUUACUUGCUUAACCUUACCCUCCUAUCAUACCUAUAUAGCCUUUCCUUCAGUUAUAUCCAGUUUCAGUUCUGCUUCCAACUACCGAUGGGAGAAGGCUUGGACGUAUAGCAAGAUUAAAUAAGAGGUAUUGCAUAUGGGAAGGAAAUAUUAAAUGAAAGGUUCGAAGUAGAGCUAGAGAUGAGCGCUAGCCAGAACGAAAUGGACAUAUGAGCGAUCGAUUACGAGAGCUCGACCGAUCAGACCGGGAAGAAGAGAAAGAAAGGUCAAUCUCCGAAAGGCCUUCGCAGAGCUGAGCUUUAGGGGGGAAUACUUUUUGUGGUCUUGCACAUGGAAAAGUCAAGUAUUCUACGCAGGCUUGAUUUACCGG
This 3277-nucleotide long non-coding RNA is filed under the name Nicotiana benthamiana. RNAcentral's name for it is "long non-coding RNA (NBEN_LNC010852)". The record is from RNAcentral. Lineage: Eukaryota; Viridiplantae; Streptophyta; Magnoliopsida; Solanales; Solanaceae.